CGGGACACGUGGUAUCCUGUCUGAAUAUGGGGGGACCAUCCUCCAAGGCUAAAUACUCCUGACUGACCGAUAGUGAACCAGUACCGUGAGGGAAAGGCGAAAAGAACCCCGGCGAGGGGAGUGAAAAAGAACCUGAAACCGUGUACGUACAAGCAGUGGGAGCACGCUUAGGCGUGUGACUGCGUACCUUUUGUAUAAUGGGUCAGCGACUUAUAUUCUGUAGCAAGGUUAACCGAAUAGGGGAGCCGAAGGGAAACCGAGUCUUAACUGGGCGUUAAGUUGCAGGGUAUAGACCCGAAACCCGGUGAUCUAGCCAUGGGCAGGUUGAAGGUUGGGUAACACUAACUGGAGGACCGAACCGACUAAUGUUGAAAAAUUAGCGGAUGACUUGUGGCUGGGGGUGAAAGGCCAAUCAAACCGGGAGAUAGCUGGUUCUCCCCGAAAGCUAUUUAGGUAGCGCCUCGUGAAUUCAUCUCCGGGGGUAGAGCACUGUUUCGGCAAGGGGGUCAUCCCGACUUACCAACCCGAUGCAAACUGCGAAUACCGGAGAAUGUUAUCACGGGAGACACACGGCGGGUGCUAACGUCCGUCGUGAAGAGGGAAACAACCCAGACCGCCAGCUAAGGUCCCAAAGUCAUGGUUAAGUGGGAAACGAUGUGGGAAGGCCCAGACAGCCAGGAUGUUGGCUUAGAAGCAGCCAUCAUUUAAAGAAAGCGUAAUAGCUCACUGGUCGAGUCGGCCUGCGCG
RNAcentral lists this ribosomal RNA (747 nucleotides) under Escherichia coli. Its description in RNAcentral is "partial 23S ribosomal RNA". It matches the Rfam family "Bacterial large subunit ribosomal RNA", at positions 418 to 1165 of the family's 2925-position model. The record is from RNAcentral. Lineage: Bacteria; Pseudomonadati; Pseudomonadota; Gammaproteobacteria; Enterobacterales; Enterobacteriaceae.